CUGUUCUUUCAAGCAAGCCAUGGCCGUGCUCGCGUCCGCGCUGCCGGUUGUAGCCCUGCUCGAGUCCGCCGCCCGGCCAUCAGGCCCAGGCCCUUGGCUCCGCCGCUGGCUAGCCAUCCCGCCGCUGCCGACUAGCCAUCUCCGCCCACCCCUGGCGCAACUCCGGCCGCGCACCCCGGCCGCAGCUUCGGCCGCCCCAGCCCCCAGCACGCGCGCCCACCGGAAGUUUUUCGGGAGCGAGUUCGUCCUGGAAUCCGUUCCUCAACCAAACAGCACCAAGGUUGGAGCCGCUCCAUUCCAUUCUCCUCCAUCCCACCAACCGCUGAGCAGCUGAGCGCUAGCAGCUGAGCGGCGGCACGAGCGCGAGCAGCCGAGCGAGGCGCGCGGCUGCUGCGCUAAUGGCACGGCCGUUCUCGUCGCUGGCGCACUCCUCGUAUCGCCGCAGAAUCGUCGAGUGCAAAGCUGUGGCUUACUCCUCGCGGCUCCCUUCCCGCGCUAGGCCCCCCGCACGCCCCCGUAUCGCUGCCAGCUCCAACAACACCCCAGCGCAUGGAAUUGAUAGUAGCAUCAUUACCAUUCAGACUAUGACGCGGUGGGAGACCCUGAACCACAUGGCCUACAAAUUUGGGAGCCUUGGCAAGUCUGAUGGAAAACUGGCCUUGAAGAUACUGAAUUCUAUUGUGGAGCGAUCAGGUUUAGACCGAAUUACCUACAUUUACUGUAUGGCUGUUCGAAUUCUCAUCCAGGCUCAAAUGCAUUCGCAAGCAAUGUCAGUGUUGAAGCAUCUUGCUGUGACGGGCUUCUCCUGCACUGCUAUUUUUACCUCCCUCUUGCGGAUCAUUUCACGUUUUGAUUCCACCAAUCAUGUCGUUUUUGAACUCCUUAUCAAAGCAUAUGUCAAGGAAAGAAAAGUGCUAGAUGCAGCUGUGGCAGUUUUCUUUAUGGAUGACUGUGGAUUUAAGGCUUCACCUGUUGCUUGCAAUUCCAUCCUUAAGGCUCUUGUGGAGGAAGGGGAAUCAAAGUAUGUUUGGUUGUUCUUGAGAGAGAGUUUGGCCCGUAAGUUUCCUUUGGAUGUUACCACUUGCAAUAUUCUUCUGAAUUCCCUAUGCACCAAUGGUGAAUUUAGAAAGGCUGAAGAUAUGCUUCAGAAGAUGAAGAGUUGUUGCCUAUCAAAUUCUGCCACUUAUAAUACAAUACUACAUUGGUAUGUUAAGAAGGGAAGAUUUAAGGCUGCCUUGUGUGUUCUAGAAGAUAUGGAGAGGGAUAGUAUACAGGCAGAUAUAUAUACCUACAACAUCAUGAUAGAUAAAUUAUGUAGAAUAAAGAGGAGUGCGCGUGCUUUCCUUUUGCUCAAGAGAAUGAGAAAAGAUGACUUAACACCUGAUGAAUGUACCUACAAUACUUUGAUCAAUGGGUUUUUUGGUGAAGGUAAGAUAAAUCAUGCUCGCUGUGUCUUUAAUCAUAUGCUGAGACAAACUUUGGUCCCAAGUGUAGCUACUUACACUACAAUGAUUGAUGGGUACUGCCGAAACAGGAGAAUUGAUAAGGCCCUAAGUGUUCUGUCGGAAAUGGAAAUUACUGGUGUCAUGCCAAGCGAACUAACUUAUAGUGCUUUGUUGAAUGGUUACUGCAAAGUUUCCAUGCUGGGACCUGCUCUAGAUCUUAUGGUUGAUCUGAAAUCAAGAGGUAUAACCAUCAAUAAGACGAUGUGUACUAUUCUCAUUGAUGGUUUCUGUCAAGUCGGUGAGAUUUCCAAGGCUAAACAAAUUUUGAAGAGUAUGCUUGAGGAUGGAAUUGAUCCAGAUGUCGUCACUUAUUCAGCAUUGAUCAAUGGUAUGUGCAGGAUGGCUAAGAUGCAUGAAACAAAAGAAAUUUUGUCAAGGAUGCAGAAAAGUGGAAUUUUACCUAAUGACGUGCUAUAUACAACUCUGAUCUGUUACUAUUGUAAGGCAGGGUAUGUCAAGGUAGCACUAAAGCAUUUUGUGGACAUUUAUCGAAGGGGUCUAGUUGCCAAUCCAGUUAUCCAUAAUGCAUUAUUACGUGCUUUCUAUAGAGAGGGAAUGAUUACAGAGGCUGAACACUUCAGACAAUACAUGUCUAGGAUGAAUAUAUCAUUUAAUUCUGUCUCCUUUAACUGCAUAAUUGAUAGUUAUUGCCACAGAGGUAAAAUAGUUGAGGCAUUUUCAGUUUAUGAUGAUAUGGUUAGAUAUGGCCAUUCUCCAAAUGUUUGCACAUAUCAGAAUUUGCUUAGAGGAUUAUGUCAAGGAGGCCACUUGGUACAAGCAAAGCAGUUUAUGUUCUGUCUUCUUGACAUACCUUCUGCUGUUGAUGAGAAAACUUUCAAUGCACUACUUCUUGGGAUUUGCAAAUAUGGAACCCUAGAUGAAGCUUUGGAUAUAUGCGAGAAAAUGGUAAAAAACAACUGUUUACCUGAUAUCCAUACCUACACCAUUCUUCUCAGUGGUUUUUGCAGGAAAGGUAAGAUUUUGCCUGCGUUAGUCAUGUUGCAGAUGAUGUUGGAGAAAGGAGUAGUCCCUGAUACUGUUGCAUAUACCUGCUUGCUGAAUGGGUUGAUCAAUGAAGGCCAAGUGAAGGCUGCUUCUUAUGUUUUCCAGGAGAUCAUAUGCAAGGAAGGCCUGUAUGCAGAUUGUAUUGCCUAUAAUUCAUUGAUGAAUGGGUACCUCAAGGGUGGAAAUGUGAAUACUAUAAAAAGGAUGAUGUCUGAUAUGUAUCAGAAUGAGGUUUAUCCAAACUCUGCUAGCUAUAACAUACUUAUGCAUGGGUAUGUCAAGAGGGGACAAUUUUCAAAGUCCUUAUAUCUGUACAAAUAUAUGGUGAGGAAAGGAAUCAGGCCAGACAAUGUUACAUAUCGCUUGCUCAUUCUUGGGCUUUCUGAGUGUGGGUUGAUUGACAUUGCAGUUAAGUUCUUGGAGAAGAUGGUCUUAGAAGGCAUUUUCCCUGAUAAGUUAGUUUUUGAUAUAUUGAUUACAUCUUUCAGUGAGAAAUCCAAGAUGCAUAAUGCACUACGACUUUUCAAUUGUAUGAAGUGUUUACAUUUGUCACCCAGCAGUAAAACUUUUAGUGCCAUGAUCAAUGGAUUGAUCAGAAAAAAUUACUUGGACCAGAGUCACGAAGUUUUACAUGAGAUGUUACAAGUAGGGCUUCAACCAAACCAUACACACUAUAUUGCAUUGGUCAACGCAAAAUGUCGGGUUGGUGAGAUUGAUAGAGCGUUCAGGCUAAAAGAAGAAAUGAAAGCUAUUGGCAUUGUGCCUGCUGAAGUUGCUGAGAGCUCAAUUAUUAGAGGACUUUGUAGAUGUGGAAAACUUGAGGAGGCAGUCAUAGUUUUCAGUAAUAUGAUGCGUUCAGGAAUGGUGCCAACUGUUGCUACUUUCACUACUCUAAUGCACAGUCUUUGCAAAGAAUCCAAGAUUGCUGAUGCUUUGCACUUGAAGAGGCUGAUGGAGUUGUGUAGAUUGAAGGUUGAUGUUGUCAGUUAUAAUGUUCUAAUUACUGGUUUAUGCAAAGACAAGCAUAUCUCUGAUGCACUAGAUCUUUAUGGAGAGAUGAAAUCUAAGGGUCUUUGGCCGAACGUUACUACCUAUAUCACACUCACUGGAGCUAUGUAUUCGACAGGGAGAAUGCAGAAUGGAGAGGAACUACUGGAGGAUAUAGAAGAAAGGGGUCUUAUUCCGGCGUUUAAGCAGCUUGAAAAUCUUGAAAGACGGAUGGAGGAUGCAAUUAGAAGGCUGAACAUGAUAAGAAGAUGCAGAAAGGAAGUGACUUUUAGAGGGGUAGAGCUACUAGCUGUAGAUCCUAAACCCGUGUGUAGUGCUGCUAGUGAUUGUAACACCACUGAAACACUGCAAUGUAAAGGAAUUUGAGCAUUUGACCAAUAUUGUUGGUACAAAACUAUUGGUAUCUUUUCUGAGUAGUGCUUGUGAUGCCUUACAUUGUUGUGUUCCUCCACUGAGAGAUCCAUGGAUCCAUCUCUAGAUAUGUUGAAUAUGUGAUUUUCCUUAAACAGCUAAUUCAGAAAUACAAAAUUACCCAGGGAGGAAGAGGAACCUCACAUAUAUAUUUCAGUGGAUCCUGGGGGCAGGUAAAUGGGAUUAUGGGUGCUGAUGCAUGACAUUAGCAGCUCAAGCCUCGCUCAAUCCACAUCACCACCGGGACGCUGCUGUUGAUCAUCACUAUGCUUCGGUCAGCCAACUCCUGCCCUCUCUCUCUUACUCUCGCUCUGAUUUCCCCCAAACUAAAAUUUGGUUCUUGGUCUGUGCAAACUGAAAGUUCUGGACAACUGUGCCCCCUCCCUCCAAGCUCCGGCAGCGGCACCGGCACAUGCUCCCUUCCACGGCGGCCCCUGCCCCUGCAAUUUUCAUCUGUCUUCUAUCCAUCAGGUGCUUUCUAGAUCAGGCUGCCCGUAUGUGCUCGUGCAAGUAAACAAGUAGCCACCCUCCAAUUCUUGUUUAUUUUUGCCACUUGCUUGUACUGAAAUUAUCUGUUAAUUAAGAUAUGGCUAGCUGGAUGUGCUAUGCACUGGUCUGUGGAUUAGGUUUGCUGAUCUUGAUGAUUCAUUGUCUGUGAUUGCUCCCUUCAAAGCAUGCUCCUAUGCUGCUAGUUGGUUACAAUUUAUAUGCUAUAUAUAUUCUUGGUUGAAAUCUAGUCAAAUUUAUGCAUUUUACCUGCGUGUGAUUUCUAAUUGGUUUAUGGCCAAGGAGUUCUGGGUCUUCUUUAGUCUCUAGCAGCUGUCUUUUGCUUUUGUUUGUGUGGACUAUUCCAGAUGCAACUAUGUGUUCCUUCAUCUAUUCUAAAUGCCUGUACUGCUAUUCUGGAUUCAACUGUGUUCGGAGCACAAUUUAUAAAAAGAAAAAAAAAAGUACUAAAUUGUGGACAGAGUCAGAAAUCACUAAUCAAAUGGUUUCUAACUAUCCUACUAUUCCUGAUUCCACUUUCAGACCAUCUUAAAUUGGAAUUCUGAUGAUUUGUAGGAAAAAUACAAGGUUCUGGAGAUUAUAGAAAGAUUUUUGAAGAUACCUUGAUCAAUAG
Sorghum bicolor (sorghum) is the source of this 5049-nucleotide RNA transcript. RefSeq lists it as uncharacterized. The transcript is spliced from 4 exons. The record is from RefSeq and is a predicted model, not a curated record. Lineage: Eukaryota; Viridiplantae; Streptophyta; Magnoliopsida; Poales; Poaceae.